This 225-nucleotide unclassified non-coding RNA is filed under the name Mycobacterium tuberculosis variant bovis. Its description in RNAcentral is "partial contains 16S ribosomal RNA and 16S-23S ribosomal RNA intergenic spacer". The stretch from base 1 to 64 matches the Rfam family "Bacterial small subunit ribosomal RNA", at positions 1470 to 1533 of the family's 1533-position model. Lineage: Bacteria; Bacillati; Actinomycetota; Actinomycetes; Mycobacteriales; Mycobacteriaceae. The record is from RNAcentral. RNAcentral also lists the same sequence under 1 other name.
UUGGAUCCCGACGAAGUCGUAACAAGGUAGCCGUACCGGAAGGUGCGGCUGGAUCACCUCCUUUCUAAGGAGCACCACGAAAACGCCCCAACUGGUGGGGCGUAGGCCGUGAGGGGUUCUUGUCUGUAGUGGGCGAGAGCCGGGUGCAUGACAACAAAGUUGGCCACCAACACACUGUUGGGUCCUGAGGCAACACUCGGACUUGUUCCAGGUGUUGUCCCACCG